AUUGAACGCUGGCGGCAGGCCUAACACAUGCAAGUCGAGCGCGCGGCGGACGGGUGAGUAAUGUCUGGGAAACUGCCUGAUGGAGGGGGAUAACUACUGGACACGGUAGCUAAUACCGCAUACCAUCAGAUGUGCCCAGAUGGGAUUAGCUAGUAGGUGGGGUAAUGGCUCACCUAGGCGACGAUCCCUCGCUGGUCGGAGAGGAGGACAAGCCACACGGGAACGGAGCCACGGCCCAGACUCCGACGGGAGGCAGCAGUGGGGAAUAUUGCACAAUGGGCGCAAGCCUGAUGCAGCCAUGCCGCGUGUAUGAAGAAGGCCUUCGGGUUGUAAAGGACUUUCAGCGGGGAGGCGUUACCCGCAGAAGAAGCACCGGCUAACUCCGUGCCAGCAGCCGCGGUAAUUC
Molecule: ribosomal RNA, 406 nt
Filed under: uncultured bacterium
Lineage: Bacteria
Description: partial 16S ribosomal RNA
Rfam family: Bacterial small subunit ribosomal RNA
Source: RNAcentral